Non-coding RNA from Pogona vitticeps (central bearded dragon), 231 nucleotides. Lineage: Eukaryota; Metazoa; Chordata; Lepidosauria; Squamata; Agamidae. The record is from RefSeq and is a predicted model, not a curated record.
GAAGCAGAACUCUGAGGCUCUCAACGCGGUGGCUGAAAGAAACUAGAAACUAUACGGGGAGCCUUGGCGCUAAGCAUACAUGGACACAGCGACCACAGAAGAGACCUGGACAAGUACAAUUGAGACCUGUAAUCUGGUAUCAGAUAUUUGGGCCAAAGGUGAGGUGCUGAUGGAACCUUCAGAAGUCUGAGGUAAGUAUAUAAGCUGGAUCAAGUACUGUUCCUGAUUUUG